GUGAUUGGACUAAUGGCUUAAAUCUGCUUCUCCACUGUAUUGGGAAGAUAAGAUUCACCAUCUUUGAUCUGCUCAACUACUGCUUAGGGUGAGAGAAUCUACAAUCUUCAACCUACUCGACUAGUGCUUAAGGUGGUAGGACUAACGGUUUAAAUUUGCUUCUCCAUUGUAUUGGGAAGAUAAGAUUCACCAUCUUCGAUCUGCUCCACUACGGCUUAGGUUUACAGAAUCUCCAAUCUUCAACCUACC
RNAcentral lists this long non-coding RNA (249 nucleotides) under Gossypium barbadense (sea-island cotton). RNAcentral's name for it is "long non-coding RNA (GBAR_LNC017960)". The record is from RNAcentral. Lineage: Eukaryota; Viridiplantae; Streptophyta; Magnoliopsida; Malvales; Malvaceae.